AAUCUUUGAUCAGCUCUUGUACUAGUUCUGAACUGGAAACAAGAUUUACACACUAGUGUCUUGUGCGCAGCUUUUGACAGAUUUGGUGAACCUGUCGACAGAUGUGGUCCUAUUGAAGUAGUAGUAGUAAAUUAGUUUCAGUGAAUCACUUUUUUGCCAUAAGCUUUGUUCAUUCAGUUGUUAAUUUCUAUAUCUGCUGAUGAUAUCAGGAAUAUUAAUUCUUGGUUGUGGGAGGCAUAUCCAGCCAGUAAGUCCUGACCUUCGGCAAUUUAUUCGGUCUAUGGGCAUGAAUCUUGAAGCAAUUGAUUCGAGAAAUGCUGCAUCAACAUAUAAUAUUUUGAAUGAAGAAGGAAUGAUUGUGGCUGCUGCGCUUCUUCCUUAUGGGGUGGAGGAGUAGGACAAUCAAAUGGUGAUAAGAAAUCGUGGAAAGUUGGGCCACAUAGAUCUACUAAUUGCUCUGUUAUGCUUGGCAAAGUGAAGGAUAUUAAGGCGUCUUCGGCUGAAAUACUCUCUGAACUCCUUGUUACUGCUCUUGAUUGUUUGCAUCCCAAAGAAGACAACUUUCUGGUUCAAUCAACAGGUUUUUAUGCAAUUUCAGGAGAUUUUCAUUUUUAGACAUUGAGAUAGCUAAUAAGCAUAUUGGUGAUGAAGUUGAAGUUAAGGUGGAUGGAAUGACUAAAUCUUCAAAUUAUGACUCAGAAGGAACAAAUGGAAAGGAUUCAGUUGAACACAAUUCAUCCAGUGCCAAGCCUAAGAAGAGACGUACAAAGAAGGAAGAUGAACUGACUGCCAGAAAGAGCCGUUGCCUUCCAUUUUGUUCACUACUGACGUUCACACCUCAAUGAAUGCAUUGGUCUCACUUACAUCCCCUCAAGUUUCAUUCUUCUUGAAUUCCCUCCUUUUUCUUCACAUCAGAUUAGCUUUCUAACCCAAGAUAAUGAGGGCAUUUGUGGUAUACACUUGUUUCUCUCUCCAGCUACUGAUUUUUUAUUGUUUUCAUUUUUAAAUUGGGUCUA
Coffea arabica (coffee) is the source of this 1016-nucleotide non-coding RNA. The record is from RefSeq and is a predicted model, not a curated record. Lineage: Eukaryota; Viridiplantae; Streptophyta; Magnoliopsida; Gentianales; Rubiaceae.